AGCUUAUCUCCAUUUUACAAAUGGCGGAUCAUCAUCAUCUUCAUCAUAAUCGUCAUCUUCGUAAAGCUGGGAAAACCCCCAGAUCACAAACACUCCCAUCCUCCCCUACUCAUUCAUCCUCCUCCUCCGAUUUCGAAUUCACCAUCUCUCUCUCCCCUCGCAAAUCCUCCGCCACCAAUCUUUGCCCCGCCGACGACCUCUUUUACAAGGGCCAACUUCUCCCUCUUCACCUCUCCCCUCGCAUUUCCAUGGUACGCACCUUGCUUCUCUCUUCCUCCUCCACAUCUUCAUCCGCCACCACCGCCCGCCACUCCUCUGACUCCCACUCCUCCUUCUCCACCGACGGAUGCGACUCCUCCCGACCCAGCUCCGUCACUGACGACGACCUUCAUCUCCAAACCAAACUAUUCCCUUCUACCUUACAAACCCAGCCUUUCAUCUCCCACCACCACAAGAAACCCAAUAAGUACUUCUCCUUAUCUAGAUUCUCAUCUGUCUUCCGCAAGGAAACCAAAGCUCCGGCCACCACUGGUACUACUACCGCCGCCCGUAUUGACCAAGAUAUCUUAACCGGAUCUUCCGUUAAACGCAUGAGUGUGACAGCUAAAGAAAUGAUACGAAAGUAUCUGAAGAAAGCAAAACCGUUGUACGAAAAGCUAUCGCAAAGACAGGGUCAGACUUUUCAGGUUAAGAAAACGGGUCCUCCUCCACCUCCUCCUAAAACGGAGGAGAUCAGAAGCAACAAGGAAAACGACGUAAUCUCUCACUCGUUCUCAGGAAAUCUCCGGUAUCCUAGAAGGAGAAGCUGCGUAUCGAGCUGCCCAUCAUCCAUGCGGUCAUCUCCUAGUCACUCUGGAGUUC
Molecule: long non-coding RNA, 861 nt
Filed under: Lactuca sativa (garden lettuce)
Lineage: Eukaryota; Viridiplantae; Streptophyta; Magnoliopsida; Asterales; Asteraceae
Description: long non-coding RNA (LSAT_LNC005932)
Source: RNAcentral